UGAGGAAUAUUGGUCAAUGGACGAGAGUCUGAACCAGCCAAGUAGCGUGAAGGAUGACUGCCCUAUGGGUUGUAAACUUCUUUUAUACGGGAAUAAAGUUAGCCACGUGUGGCUUUUUGUAUGUACCGUAUGAAUAAGGAUCGGCUAACUCCGUGCCAGCAGCCGCGGUAAUACGGAGGAUCCGAGCGUUAUCCGGAUUUAUUGGGUUUAAAGGGAGCGUAGGCGGGUUGUUAAGUCAGUUGUGAAAGUUUGCGGCUCAACCGUAAAAUUGCAGUUGAUACUGGCGACCUUGAGUGCAACAGAGGUAGGCGGAAUUCGUGGUGUAGCGGUGAAAUGCUUAGAUAUCACGAAGAACUCCGAUUGCGAAGGCAGCUUACUGGAUUGUAACUGACGCUGAUGCUCGAAAGUGUGGGUAUCAAACAGG
Molecule: ribosomal RNA, 424 nt
Filed under: uncultured bacterium
Lineage: Bacteria
Also listed under: 1 other name
Description: bacterial SSU rRNA
Rfam family: Bacterial small subunit ribosomal RNA
Source: RNAcentral